CUAAAUGCUUUGGGUUUUGAGUUAUAAGCCAAAAACUGCAUUUUACCCCCAUGUUCUAUUUUUAGCCAUGGCGGCCAUCUUGGUUUGAUGGCCGGGUCACCGGACACAUUUUUCAAACUACUAACCCAAAAGAUGAUUGUGGCCAAGUUUGGUUUAAUUUGGCCCAGUAGUUUCAGAGGAGAAGAUUUUUGUAAAAUAUUUUCUAUUAAGAUUUACGAAAAUGGUUAAAAAUUGACUAUAAAGGGCAAUAACUCCUAAGGGGGUCAAUUGACCAUUUCAGUCAUGUUGACUUAUUUGUAAAUCUUACUUUGCUGAACAUUAUUGCUGUUUGCUGUUUAUCUCUAUCUAUAAUAAUAUUCAAGAUAAUAACCAAAAACAGCAAAAUUUCCUUAAAAUUACUAAUUCAGGGGCAGCAACCCAACAACGGGUUAUCCGAUUCAUCUGAAAAUUUCAGGCCAGAUAGAUCUUCACCUGUUUAACAAUUCUACCCGAUGUCAGAUUUGCUCUAAAUGCUUUGGUUUUUGAGUUAUAAGCCAAAAACUGCAUUUUACCCCUAUGUUCUAUUUUUAGCCAUGGCGGCCAUCUUGGAUGGUUGGCCGGGUCACCGGACACAUUUUUCAAACUAGAUACCCCAAUGAUGAUUGUGGCCAAGUUUGGUUUAAUUUGGCCCAGUAGUUUCAGAGGAGAAGAGUUUUGUAAAAGUUAACGACGACGACGACGACGACGACGACGGACGACGGACGACGACGGACGACGGACGACGACGGACGACGGACGCCAAGUGAUGAGAAAAGCUCACUUGGCCUUUUAGGCCAGGUGAGCUAAAAAUGAC
This 832-nucleotide long non-coding RNA is filed under the name Mytilus galloprovincialis (Mediterranean mussel). The record is from RNAcentral. Lineage: Eukaryota; Metazoa; Mollusca; Bivalvia; Mytilida; Mytilidae.